Molecule: ribosomal RNA, 253 nt
Filed under: uncultured bacterium
Lineage: Bacteria
Description: partial 16S ribosomal RNA
Rfam family: Bacterial small subunit ribosomal RNA
Source: RNAcentral
UACGAAGGGGGCUAGCGUUGCUCGGAAUCACUGGGCGUAAAGCGCACGUAGGCGGAUUGUUAAGUCAGGGGUGAAAUCCUGGAGCUCAACUCCAGAACUGCCUUUGAUACUGGCGAUCUUGAGUCCGGGAGAGGUGAGUGGAACUCCGAGUGUAGAGGUGAAAUUCGUAGAUAUUCGGAAGAACACCAGUGGCGAAGGCGGCUCACUGGCCCGGUACUGACGCUGAGGUGCGAAAGCGUGGGGAGCAAACAGG